Long non-coding RNA from Brassica napus (rape), 1516 nucleotides. RefSeq lists it as uncharacterized. NCBI's taxonomy places the organism in Eukaryota, Viridiplantae, Streptophyta, Magnoliopsida, Brassicales, Brassicaceae. The transcript is spliced from 5 exons. The record is from RefSeq and is a predicted model, not a curated record.
AUCUGAAAUGAAUAAAGACAUUUGUUUUUCACUCUCUCUUGUACAACACAAACACACAACCACGUAUAAUAAAAGAGAAAGUGGUCCCAUCUUAUAUCUCUCACUUAUCUCUAUCGCCAAACAAAUCUAUUACUAUAAAGAACAUUUUAACUCUUUUCUCCUUCUGCUACGUCAGAAAAUAGAUUCUUCUCGUCGCGACACGUGGCAUCUCAUUCAAUCCGUUGUGUUUUAUUAAAACAGCUCAUGGCGAUUAGGGUUUAGCUCGCUGUCUUUCAUCUUCUUCCUCACAGUACCAGAGGAAACCAGUUGCCGAAUAAUCCUCUUUAAACCUUCCAUUAAUAUAUCACCCAUGAUCUACACUGAAUGCGAAUUCUGAUUUUGAAGGGUAGUGGAUCUUCACCUAUAAAAAGAGAAGACUUCACCAUGCCUCAGUCAAUAGAAACUUCUCUUCUUUGAUUCCAUGGCUCAGUCAUCUAUCAUGCUCGCUGAUUUGAAGGCCCGCCCGCGUUCUUCCAUUCUGAGGUUUGGGGAAGCAAGAAACGUGAAAAGACGUGGGAGAUGAUGGGCCUAAAUAUGUUCAUCCUUGACGCUCAGGCAACCUUCACACCAGCCACCGUCAACGUCCACCGUCUCACACUUACCGGCAUCUUUUUAAGGUGGGCUCAAUGUACUCCUUAGGCGGUUUUGAUGUGACUGGCUGCAAUCAGAAUUACAGGCUCUUUGACUCACCUCGGCUGUUUCGGUUUAGUGAUUCAACCGAAUUUGAAGAGCUCAUGGGAGUGGAUAUGCUCUUACUGGAUUCACAGUGUGAGGUCCUUCGGUAACUCAACGUUUAAUUGAGUACGUGCAUGGCGUGUCAUUAGAGCGAGAUGGAGGGAGAUGGAGCAAGCGGCGGAGAGCGACGGAAAAAGUAGCGGAGAGAGACGGAACUAGCGGUCUCGAGCUGAUGGAACAAGUGACGGAGAGUGUGACGGGAGAUAGGAAAGGCAAUUGUUGCAGUUCAAUGGCGCAGUGGAGGUUGAUAGGCUCUCAGACAGGAGGGAUAAAAGUAGCUGUGGAGGAGUCUAACAUGACUACAUAUCUUCUUAUGAGGCUGUUGCUCAAUAUCGAUGGCCUCAAAACAGCAGGGAAAGCUAGAGUAUAAUGAUAAUGCAGAGGUUAGUGUUUCAUCUCCGGCUUUUUUCAUCUGUCUGCAUCAUUAUCUAUGUUUUCACGAUAAUAAUGUCAACAACAGUGGUGAACGAUAUGCAUCAGGUACUUAUUACUAAUGAGUUAUGAGACUUUCAGAUGAGUUGCAGUGAUAUGAUUGGUUACUUUGGUAGAUAUACAUUGCGAUUUUCUUUUCCAUAGCAAAUAAGAGUUUUCCAGGUCACAGGGCAGACAACAACAAAAGUUAAUGCGUGUAAAAGAAGGAACAUGUAAUGGAUCGAUCAAGAUAUUAUUCAUUUUUUAAGAUGUGUUUGUACGUAUAUUCGCAUGUAAUGACUCCAGUUCCAAAUAAUUGGCUUCUAAGACA